Molecule: transfer RNA, 72 nt
Filed under: Marmota monax (woodchuck)
Lineage: Eukaryota; Metazoa; Chordata; Mammalia; Rodentia; Sciuridae
Rfam family: tRNA
About the family: Transfer RNA (tRNA) molecules are approximately 80 nucleotides in length. Their secondary structure includes four short double-helical elements and three loops (D, anti-codon, and T loops).
Source: Rfam by way of RNAcentral
GGGGGUGUGGCUCAGGGAUCGAGUUCUUGCCUAGCAUGCAUGAAAGCCUGGGUUCAAUACCCAGCACUGCAA